AAGUCUAAUAUUCUCUCACAUAAGUUUUACUUCAAUCCAACUAGUAGAUUGCAUGAAAACUUAAAAACCCUCACUAGACCUAAAACUCUACUUUCUGAGACCUUGACUCACUUAAACCUCAAUAUCUCUCAGUUCAACCGUUAGAUCAAGCUCAAAUUUACAACAUGUAUUCAACACAACUAUAACCAUAAACCCAAAAAAAUUCAACCAUAGAUCUGCAACAAAACUCUCGAAAUCACUCAAAACAUAAACCCUAUUUUAUUUUAUAAAACCCAAGUCAUCCGAAAAAAAACUCAACUUUGCAAAGCUCUUACAAAUUCAUAUCAACUCCAAAUCACCCAAAAUUAAUGCUUAUAGAAACCCUAUUUAAUCUUCUCUCAAACCCCACUC
Molecule: long non-coding RNA, 390 nt
Filed under: Physcomitrium patens
Lineage: Eukaryota; Viridiplantae; Streptophyta; Bryopsida; Funariales; Funariaceae
Description: long non-coding RNA (PPAT_LNC007036)
Source: RNAcentral